GACAAUAUUUGAUCAGUUCAUUUACAGAACCAAGUGGGUUUUAGUGGAACCGCAUUACACGGUCCUGGUCUGAUCUCUCUGACAGAAUCUAAACAGCUGAUUGAGAAUCUUCAUCCAGAGCUGGAAGUGAGAGGAUGAGGAGCUGAGGCACUUCAAGAUGCGGGACCCCCGCAGGGAGGGAGGAGACCAGAGGAGGGUCAGCUGCUGCUGAAGGUCACGCUGAGGUGGUCCGCUUCCUGCUGGAGGCCUGUAAGGUCAACCCGGUCCCCAAGGACAGGUGGGGCAACACGCCGAUGGACGAGGCGGUGCACUUCGGCCAUCACGACGUGGUCACCAUCCUCAGAGACUACCACACCCAGUACAGCCCUCAGGAUGCCGCUGCCACCGCCGCGACUCGCAGAGCGCCGAGAAGAACCUGGACGGCAUGCUGUGACUUCCUGGAGGCUCCUUCAGUAUAAAAGCUCCUCAUCAUGUUUAUCUGUUCUGCCAGAUUGAAUGGACCGGUUCUGACCGAGCCGCAGUCAGAAGGGAUGAAUGUUCAGGUGGCAGGAAGUGUUACCACGGUAACGACCUUCACCAGAACCAGUAAGACCUGCUGGGUGAAGUUCUGGUCCAAGAUUCGGCUGAAUCCUGAAUAUUCUCCCUGCUGAUG
Long non-coding RNA from Poeciliopsis prolifica (blackstripe livebearer), 652 nucleotides. RefSeq lists it as uncharacterized. The record is from RefSeq and is a predicted model, not a curated record. The transcript has 3 exons. Lineage: Eukaryota; Metazoa; Chordata; Actinopteri; Cyprinodontiformes; Poeciliidae.